RNAcentral lists this small nucleolar RNA (106 nucleotides) under Cephalotus follicularis. RNAcentral describes it as "Plant small nucleolar RNA R71". It matches the Rfam family "Plant small nucleolar RNA R71". Rfam says of the family: R71 is a member of the C/D box family of snoRNAs containing the C (UGAUGA) and D (CUGA) box motifs. Multiple nearly identical copies of this snoRNA have been identified in Arabidopsis, and it is thought to function as a 2'-O-ribose methylation guide for 18S ribosomal RNA. The record is from Rfam by way of RNAcentral. Lineage: Eukaryota; Viridiplantae; Streptophyta; Magnoliopsida; Oxalidales; Cephalotaceae.
ACGGCAUGAUGGGGACAUUUUCUGAUUAGAUCCUUUAAUCUUUCCCAUGAUUCAUGGAACUACUCACCAUCUUGUUGGGAGAAGCUAAUGAGAGCUCGUCUUAUCU